CAGCAGGUGGCUAGUUCCAGGGUACAUGGGAGCUGCAGACUUCACCUCAAAGCAUUAUGAGUUUAUAGGCAGUGUCAUCCCUUUUAUAAAGCUGAGACCUGGAGGGAGAAGGAGCUGCUCCACCAAAGGACUACAAAAGAAGCCUUGUAAGGAAUUGGGCAACCAGUAGGAAGAGCCCAUUGGGGAGAGGAAAGUUGGUCUGUAUUGGGACUUUAAGAGCCCUUGAGUGCGGCAAAGAUGAAGAAAGAGACCUUGGGUGAAGAAGCAGUGUGGGCUUGAGGUCACAAGUAGAUACCUGCUUCAUUCCAGGUGCCCAACAACAGAUCUUUCGAUGGAAGGCAGGACCGAGGUCAUUCUAUCUGCUACAUGAGUAUAAGAAAGCUGUGCAGAAAUCAAAGACCUGCAGAAGUUUAGACAGACUUUUUAAGUUACAGUUGGACAUAAUGAAGGGAAGCCUAUGAAAGAAAAUGGCACUGUAUGGGGCUUGUACUUGUGGCUAAAUCGGCACGGCUGUGAUCGAUGCAGUGGUGUCAAUAUAGCGGGUCUGAUGAAGACAAACUAAGUCGAUGGCAGAGUGCUCUCCCAUCAACCUCUGUUCUCCACCUCCCCGAUGGAAGAACUAAGAAGACACUUGCCAGUUGUUACCCUAAUCAUUUUGGGCCCCGAUCUGCAAUGUGCUCCGUUCUUCAUUCAGACUCCAAGCAGGCAUGGAAUAAUUUAAAGGAUCAGCGCUUUUGCUUGUCUAUUGUGUCCUUUUCCCCUCUUUCCUCAUUUUGUGCCCUGUCACAAAGCACUCACAAUCAAGAAAAAAAAAAGAUACAAAGUGUGUGUGUGUGUGUGUGUGUGCGCGUGCGCACAGCACGCAGCAUACUGUGGGCACCACGCCAGUACGAAUAGUAUCUAAUAAUUAAAACAACUUCAUUUACAUAUCAGGGAGCUAUUUAGAUAUCCGCCUGUCUUACAAUGAGCACGUAAGAUUUUCACUAGUCUUUCAGAAGAAUGUCCUAUAUUGG
Long non-coding RNA from Mauremys mutica (yellowpond turtle), 1013 nucleotides. RefSeq lists it as uncharacterized. NCBI's taxonomy places the organism in Eukaryota, Metazoa, Chordata, Testudines, Geoemydidae. The transcript is spliced from 4 exons. The record is from RefSeq and is a predicted model, not a curated record.